CAGGAGCAGACACGGAAUAACAGUGCGGAGAGGCGUGUGGAUGUGAAAGAGAUUCCUUGGCCCACGCAAGUCCUAGAGAGGAUGCCCUAACCCGCUGCGGAGGGAGCACCCAGCAGCAAAUCCAAGGAGUUGUACCAAUAAUCUAGAAGAUCGGAGUUCUAAAAAAACGCAUCUCUGCGACCCUUCGGAUCAACUGUGGCUAGUGUGCCCCUCCAGGAGGGGCUGGAGGAAGCCCAUAGGGUUGGGAGCCAACACCAGCAGGACGGUGAAACUCCAGCUGUGGCCCGUCUGUCGCUCCUCCCCAGGUCUGCACUCCACCUCGCAGGGAGGUAAUUGCUGGAAACGAAAACGAAGGUGGGUGUUCUCGGUUGGAUUGUGUCUGUCCCAAGUCCCCGUGUCAGUGUCCUAAGCCCCAGGACCUGAGAAUGUGACUGCUUUUAAGGAGGUGAUCAGGGUAAACCCAGGUCUGGUGGGUGGGUCCCAAUCCAGUAUGGCUGGUGUCCACAGAGGAAGAGACAAUUAGGACACAGACGCAAACACAGAGGGGGACGACCGCGCAAGGUCACAGCGAGAAGGUGGCCACCCCACGCCCGGGAAAGAGGCUUCAGAAGAAACCAGACCUUCCAACAACUUAAUUGUGGGCUUGUAUCUUCUCCAGAACAGUGAGGAAAUGAAUUUCUGCUGUUUAAGCCCCCGGGGUGCACUAGUUUGUAACGGCAGCCUCUGGCUGGAAAGGCAGAAUCGAGACUGUUUGUCAUACAGGAACGCGG
This 770-nucleotide long non-coding RNA is filed under the name Felis catus (domestic cat). Its description in RNAcentral is "lncRNA (ENSFCAG00000053626.1)". The record is from RNAcentral. Lineage: Eukaryota; Metazoa; Chordata; Mammalia; Carnivora; Felidae.